UUCCUCAUGGGCAAGCUUGGAAUAGCUCAU
This 30-nucleotide non-coding RNA is filed under the name Rattus norvegicus (Norway rat). The record is from RNAcentral. Lineage: Eukaryota; Metazoa; Chordata; Mammalia; Rodentia; Muridae.